This 2317-nucleotide ribosomal RNA is filed under the name Salmonella enterica subsp. enterica serovar Infantis. RNAcentral describes it as "bacterial LSU rRNA". It matches the Rfam family "Bacterial large subunit ribosomal RNA", at positions 14 to 2273 of the family's 2925-position model. Lineage: Bacteria; Pseudomonadati; Pseudomonadota; Gammaproteobacteria; Enterobacterales; Enterobacteriaceae. The record is from RNAcentral.
AGCGUACACGGUGGAUGCCCUGGCAGUCAGAGGCGAUGAAGGGCGUGCUAAUCUGCGAUAAGCGCCGGUAAGGUGAUAUGAACCGUUAUAACCGGCGAUACCCGAAUGGGGAAACCCAGUGUGACUCGUCACACUAUCAUUAACUGAAUCCAUAGGUUAAUGAGGCGAACCGGGGGAACUGAAACAUCUAAGUACCCCGAGGAAAAGAAAUCAACCGAGAUUCCCCCAGUAGCGGCGAGCGAACGGGGAGGAGCCCAGAGCCUGAAUCAGCAUGUGUGUUAGUGGAAGCGUCUGGAAAGGCGCGCGAUACAGGGUGACAGCCCCGUACACAAAAGCGCAUGUGCUGUGAGCUCGAUGAGUAGGGCGGGACACGUGGUAUCCUGUCUGAAUAUGGGGGGACCAUCCUCCAAGGCUAAAUACUCCUGACUGACCGAUAGUGAACCAGUACCGUGAGGGAAAGGCGAAAAGAACCCCGGCGAGGGGAGUGAAAAAGAACCUGAAACCGUGUACGUACAAGCAGUGGGAGCACAGGUUUACCUGUGUGACUGCGUACCUUUUGUAUAAUGGGUCAGCGACUUAUAUUCUGUAGCAAGGUUAACCGAAUAGGGGAGCCGGAGGGAAACCGAGUCUUAAUUGGGCGUUAAGUUGCAGGGUAUAGACCCGAAACCCGGUGAUCUAGCCAUGGGCAGGUUGAAGGUUGGGUAACACUAACUGGAGGACCGAACCGACUAAUGUUGAAAAAUUAGCGGAUGACCUGUGGCUGGGGGUGAAAGGCCAAUCAAACCGGGAGAUAGCUGGUUCUCCCCGAAAGCUAUUUAGGUAGCGCCUCGUGAAUUCAUCUCCGGGGGUAGAGCACUGUUUCGGCUAGGGGGCCAUCCCGGCUUACCAACCCGAUGCAAACUGCGAAUACCGGAGAAUGUUAUCACGGGAGACACACGGCGGGUGCUAACGUCCGUCGUGAAGAGGGAAACAAACCAGACCGCCAGCUAAGGUCCCAAAGUCAUGGUUAAGUGGGAAACGAUGUGGGAAGGCCCAGACAGCCAGGAUGUUGGCUUAGAAGCAGCCAUCAUUUAAAGAAAGCGUAAUAGCUCACUGGUCGAGUCGGCCUGCGCGGAAGAUGUAACGGGGCUAAACCAUGCACCGAAGCUGCGGCAGCGAACGUAUCACUUAAAGCGAUUCAGCGGGUUACGAUUGACGGAGCGAAGCGACGUCAAAGCGUAUACAAAGUCGAGUCGGUUUAAGGAUACGUUCGUUGGGUAGGGGAGCGUUCUGUAAGCCUGUGAAGGUGUGUCGUGAGGCAUGCUGGAGGUAUCAGAAGUGCGAAUGCUGACAUAAGUAACGAUAAAGCGGGUGAAAAGCCCGCUCGCCGGAAGACCAAGGGUUCCUGUCCAACGUUAAUCGGGGCAGGGUGAGUCGACCCCUAAGGCGAGGCCGAAAGGCGUAGUCGAUGGGAAACGGGUUAAUAUUCCCGUACUUGGUGUUACUGCGAAGGGGGGACGGAGAAGGCUAUGUUGGCCGGGCGACGGUUGUCCCGGUUUAAGCGUGUAGGCUGGUUUUCCAGGCAAAUCCGGAAAAUCAAGGCUGAGGCGUGAUGACGAGGCACUACGGUGCUGAAGCAACAAAUGCCCUGCUUCCAGGAAAAGCCUCUAAGCAUCAGGUAACAUCAAAUCGUACCCCAAACCGACACAGGUGGUCAGGUAGAGAAUACCAAGGCGCUUGAGAGAACUCGGGUGAAGGAACUAGGCAAAAUGGUGCCGUAACUUCGGGAGAAGGCACGCUGACACGUAGGUGAAGUGAUUUACUCAUGGAGCUGAAGUCAGUCGAAGAUACCAGCUGGCUGCAACUGUUUAUUAAAAACACAGCACUGUGCAAACACGAAAGUGGACGUAUACGGUGUGACGCCUGCCCGGUGCCGGAAGGUUAAUUGAUGGGGUCAGCGCAAGCGAAGCUCCUGAUCGAAGCCCCGGUAAACGGCGGCCGUAACUAUAACGGUCCUAAGGUAGCGAAAUUCCUUGUCGGGUAAGUUCCGACCUGCACGAAUGGCGUAAUGAUGGCCAGGCUGUCUCCACCCGAGACUCAGUGAAAUUGAACUCGCUGUGAAGAUGCAGUGUACCCGCGGCAAGACGGAAAGACCCCGUGAACCUUUACUAUAGCUUGACACUGAACAUUGAGCCUUGAUGUGUAGGAUAGGUGGGAGGCUUUGAAGCGUGGACGCCAGUCUGCGUGGAGCCGACCUUGAAAUACCACCCUUUAAUGUUUGAUGUUCUAACGUGGACCCGUAAUCCGGGUUGCGGACAGUGUCUGGUGGGUAGUUUGA